UGCAGUCGAGCGGACAGAUGGGAGCUUGCUCCCUGAUGUUAGCGGCGGACGGGUGAGUAACACGUGGGUAACCUGCCUGUAAGACUGGGAUAACUCCGGGAAACCGGGGCUAAUACCGGAUGGUUGUUUGAACCGCAUGGUUCAAACAUAAAAGGUGGCUUCGGCUACCACUUACAGAUGGACCCGCGGCGCAUUAGCUAGUUGGUGAGGUAACGGCUCACCAAGGCAACGAUGCGUAGCCGACCUGAGAGGGUGAUCGGCCACACUGGGACUGAGACACGGCCCAGACUCCUACGGGAGGCAGCAGUAGGGAAUCUUCCGCAAUGGACGAAAGUCUGACGGAGCAACGCCGCGUGAGUGAUGAAGGUUUUCGGAUCGUAAAGCUCUGUUGUUAGGGAAGAACAAGUACCGUUCGAAUAGGGCGGUACCUUGACGGUACCUAACCAGAAAGCCACGGCUAACUACGUGCCAGCAGCCGCGGUAAUACGUAGGUGGCAAGCGUUGUCCGGAAUUAUUGGGCGUAAAGGGCUCGCAGGCGGUUUCUUAAGUCUGAUGUGAAAGCCCCCGGCUCAACCGGGGAGGGUCAUUGGAAACUGGGGAACUUGAGUGCAGAAGAGGAGAGUGGAAUUCCACGUGUAGCGGUGAAAUGCGUAGAGAUGUGGAGGAACACCAGUGGCGAAGGCGACUCUCUGGUCUGUAACUGACGCUGAGGAGCGAAAGCGUGGGGAGCGAACAGGAUUAGAUACCCUGGUAGUCCACGCCGUAAACGAUGAGUGCUAAGUGUUAGGGGGUUUCCGCCCCUUAGUGCUGCAGCUAACGCAUUAAGCACUCCGCCUGGGGAGUACGGUCGCAAGACUGAAACUCAAAGGAAUUGACGGGGGCCCGCACAAGCGGUGGAGCAUGUGGUUUAAUUCGAAGCAACGCGAAGAACCUUACCAGGUCUUGACAUCCUCUGACAAUCCUAGAGAUAGGACGUCCCCUUCGGGGGCAGAGUGACAGGUGGUGCAUGGUUGUCGUCAGCUCGUGUCGUGAGAUGUUGGGUUAAGUCCCGCAACGAGCGCAACCCUUGAUCUUAGUUGCCAGCAUUCAGUUGGGCACUCUAAGGUGACUGCCGGUGACAAACCGGAGGAAGGUGGGGAUGACGUCAAAUCAUCAUGCCCCUUAUGACCUGGGCUACACACGUGCUACAAUGGACAGAACAAAGGGCAGCGAAACCGCGAGGUUAAGCCAAUCCCACAAAUCUGUUCUCAGUUCGGAUCGCAGUCUGCAACUCGACUGCGUGAAGCUG
RNAcentral lists this ribosomal RNA (1288 nucleotides) under Bacillus subtilis. Its description in RNAcentral is "bacterial SSU rRNA". It matches the Rfam family "Bacterial small subunit ribosomal RNA", at positions 56 to 1328 of the family's 1533-position model. Lineage: Bacteria; Bacillati; Bacillota; Bacilli; Caryophanales; Bacillaceae. The record is from RNAcentral.